CCGUUCUGAUUUUUUAAUCUUUCUCUCAAUCUCUCUCUGUGUAAUCGGUGCUUGCUCAAUCUUAUUGGAGUUGUUUCUCUUAUAUACUCUUGUAAGUUGGGAACUGGAUCUUUGUUUCUAGCAAACAUUGGUUCAUUUAAUUUUUGGGUUUAUUGAUUAAUUGGAAGUGUGUUAUUUCUAUAUCAUUGUCACAAAGCACAUGGUAUCUUCGGCACUUGUCUCUCUUCCCUCUCUACAACUAGAUGAAGUGCGCUUUUGUUUAUCCGGCAACGUCUCUUGGCCAGCUUUGUUUGGAAUCGUCUGGCUUCCUUCGCCAUGAUGUCCAGCUACUCGUGAUGUAAAGCUUUAUGUGUGAUUUAAAAGCUUUAUUGUUUUUGAAUUGAAUUUUUUGUACUAAUUAAGCUAUUUUCUUUUAUUGUGUGAUUUAAAAGCUUUAUUGUUUUUGAAUUAAGUUGAUUGUACUGAUUAGGGUUGUGUGUUUAAAUAUGUCGUGUGUUUACUAAUAUAUUAUACUAGUGUUGAUCCCG
Molecule: long non-coding RNA, 527 nt
Filed under: Capsella rubella
Lineage: Eukaryota; Viridiplantae; Streptophyta; Magnoliopsida; Brassicales; Brassicaceae
Description: long non-coding RNA (CRUB_LNC000630)
Source: RNAcentral